GAUUAGUGGCGAACGGGUGAGUAACACGUGGGCAAUCUGCCCUGCACUCUGGGACAAGCCCUGGAAACGGGGUCUAAUACCGGAUACUGAUCCUCGCAGGCAUCUGCGAGGUUCGAAAGCUCCGGCGGUGCAGGAUGAGCCCGCGGCCUAUCAGCUAGUUGGUGAGGUAACGGCUCACCAAGGCGACGACGGGUAGCCGGCCUGAGAGGGCGACCGGCCACACUGGGACUGAGACACGGCCCAGACUCCUACGGGAGGCAGCAGUGGGGAAUAUUGCACAAUGGGCGAAAGCCUGAUGCAGCGACGCCGCGUGAGGGAUGACGGCCUUCGGGUUGUAAACCUCUUUCAGCAGGGAAGAAGCGAAAGUGACGGUACCUGCAGAAGAAGCGCCGGCUAACUACGUGCCAGCAGCCGCGGUAAUACGUAGGGCGCAAGCGUUGUCCGGAAUUAUUGGGCGUAAAGAGCUCGUAGGCGGCUUGUCACGUCGGUUGUGAAAGCCCGGGGCUUAACCCCGGGUCUGCAGUCGAUACGGGCAGGCUAGAGUUCGGUAGGGGAGAUCGGAAUUCCUGGUGUAGCGGUGAAAUGCGCAGAUAUCAGGAGGAACACCGGUGGCGAAGGCGGAUCUCUGGGCCGAUACUGACGCUGAGGAGCGAAAGCGUGGGGAGCGAACAGGAUUAGAUACCCUGGUAGUCCACGCCGUAAACGGUGGGCACUAGGUGUGGGCAACAUUCCACGUUGUCCGUGCCGCAG
This 750-nucleotide ribosomal RNA is filed under the name Streptomyces rochei. RNAcentral's name for it is "bacterial SSU rRNA". It matches the Rfam family "Bacterial small subunit ribosomal RNA", at positions 90 to 851 of the family's 1533-position model. Lineage: Bacteria; Bacillati; Actinomycetota; Actinomycetes; Kitasatosporales; Streptomycetaceae. The record is from RNAcentral.